GUGGGGAAUAUUGGACAAUGGGCGAAAGCCUGAUCCAGCCAUGCCGCGUGUGUGAAGAAGGUCUUCGGAUUGUAAAGCACUUUAAGUUGGGAGGAAGGGUAGUAACCUAAUACGUUGCUACUUUGACGUUACCGACAGAAUAAGCACCGGCUAACUUCGUGCCAGCAGCCGCGGUAAUACGAAGGGUGCAAGCGUUAAUCGGAAUUACUGGGCGUAAAGCGCGCGUAGGUGGUUCAGUAAGUUGGAAGUGAAAUCCCCGGGCUCAACCUGGGAACUGCUUUCAAAACUGCUGAGCUAGAGUACGGUAGAGGGUGGUGGAAUUUCCUGUGUAGCGGUGAAAUGUGUAGAUAUAGGAAGGAACACCAGUGGCGAAGGCGACUACCUGGACUGAUACUGACACUGAGGUGCGAAAGCGUGGGGAGCAAACAGGAUUAGAAACCCGGGUAGUCC
Molecule: ribosomal RNA, 450 nt
Filed under: uncultured bacterium
Lineage: Bacteria
Description: partial 16S ribosomal RNA
Rfam family: Bacterial small subunit ribosomal RNA
Source: RNAcentral